ACUGUUUUGGCAGAUAAGUGCAGUAAAUUUAGAAUUUAUAAAUAUAAAUGAAUUAUUAUAGGCAGUA
This 67-nucleotide transfer RNA is filed under the name Amazonina sp. Z256E. RNAcentral's name for it is "tRNA-Leu". Lineage: Eukaryota; Metazoa; Arthropoda; Insecta; Blattodea; Pseudophyllodromiidae. The record is from RNAcentral.